This is a long non-coding RNA of Sphaeramia orbicularis (orbiculate cardinalfish), 89 nucleotides long. RefSeq lists it as uncharacterized. The transcript has 4 exons. The record is from RefSeq and is a predicted model, not a curated record. Lineage: Eukaryota; Metazoa; Chordata; Actinopteri; Kurtiformes; Apogonidae.
CCUUUUAUAAUAUAUUUGUAACCAAUGAGAUUUCGUCAUUAGCAUUAAACCGCCCUUUGGACAUUCACGAUUGGUUCCUAAUAGAAAGC